Molecule: long non-coding RNA, 1883 nt
Organism: Sarcophilus harrisii (Tasmanian devil)
Lineage: Eukaryota; Metazoa; Chordata; Mammalia; Dasyuromorphia; Dasyuridae
Exons: 3
Source: RefSeq, a predicted model, not a curated record
CUGAAAUUUGCCAUCACAGAUUACAGUUCUUCUAUUCUGCUUGUUAUUUUUGCUGCGCAGAACAUAAAUUCUGCUCUCAUAAUUCUCAUUUUCUUUUAAAGCAAUCAGUUGUGUUUUGUGGUUCUAUCUUCUCAAAUCCCACAAGAUCUGUCACACUAAAUGUUGGAUGAUUUUUCUUUGUUUUGCAGUAUUUAUUCAUUAAUGUCUUAAUAUAUUAGAUCUGGUGGACAUAUUUCUUUCUCCUGUUAAUAUUUUCCUUGUUCAUUGAUCUACUUAUAUUCAAGGUCUUUGAAUUUUCUUCUUGAGACCCUUGGUAAUUCCAAUCUCUUCCCCCCUUAUUUUCUCUCUUGCUCACUUCCUUCUGACCGUAGUUUCCUUGAGAAUGGAAUUUCAAUGUUUUAGCUUCCUCUUCCACUUGACAAUUCACCAGCAUAGUUCUGUUUCCCAGAUGAUUUUGGAAGGUCAGAACUAAUCCCAGCUGGAUGCUGAGUAUUUUUUCUCAGGCUUAUUAUAGUGCUACAUAACUUCCAUAGACCAUGUUCUGUCUGUCUUAUCAUUUUUCCUUUGUUCCUCAGUUCUCUGGCCUGCCAUCAAAGUUCAGCAAUCUGCCAUGCUGAUGGUAGGGAGCUAAUUUUUAUAGUUUGGAUAUCCAACAUGCUGGAAGGAAGAUGGAGUGGGAUAUGGCAUUGAAAGUUCAGACAGGUUUUUAAGGUUCGUGAAACACUCUCUAAAACUGGUCUCAUAACAACCCAGUGAGGUCGAUAUUUUUCAUAGACACACACCAGUAUAAUUUCACUGGAUUAUAGCAUUUCCAGAUGUCGAUAAAACACUUAUAUGUGCUGAGAAGAAAGAACCAAGACAAAAUGGAGGAUGUAGCAUGGGAGGAGUCUUAGAAUGAGAGGCUUGCUGCUAUUUUAAAAUAAAUGUUUUGUUUUGAACAUGGGAUAGAAUAUGGGAAAAAUCAUUACAUAUGAAAUUAUGAAUCUAUUAUGUACAAAAUUUGAAAUGUUUAGUUAAUGGGGAUUCCAUAAUAUCCCCCUUUUUGUGGGGAGGAAGGAGAGUGGCAAUCUGGACAUGUAAUUUCAUUUUUGUGGGGUAUUCCAGAUAUGGAAAUAUCCUUUCCUCUAUUGAUUCAAUUAGACUUUUCUGUAAUUUAUAGUUUUAGAUAGUUAUGUAAGUCCCUAAGGGAUUAAGUAAUUUGCCACUGGUCACCCACUCAGAGCAUGUCGGAGGCAGGACUUGUAACUAGGAUUGCAUUGUUCUAAGGCCAAUCUUCUAUCCACCAUGCUAUCAACUAUAGGAAUAGCUAUAAAGACUAGUUCUAUGAUUUCAUAGGUUUAGGGAACCUUUUCUAUCCAUGUAGGUUUCUCCUUUCUCUGUUACUUAUGGUCUUAGAAAAAGACCGAGAACAAUAGGACCAAAUAGAAACUGGGGAUGACUAAAUCAUGUAGAAAGAGCCCUGCCUGCUACAUACUCUAUUCUAUUAUAUUUUUAUUAGUUUUAAAAUUUUUCCCAAUUAUAUUUAACAUGGUUCUGGUUGUUCUGGGGAGUACAACCCAAGGGAUUUGUGUUUGAUGCCUGUGGCCUAGGGCACUGAGAAUUUAAGUAACUUGCACAGUGACAUAUGACUUAUAUCAUACUAUUAAUAACAUGUUGCCUCCUCUCAAGGAGUAUAUUGUUCAAUAAAACUCACUAGUUAAACAUAAAUUAUUAUAAGCUUAUAGGAUUUUGUACAGAAGGAAACUAAGUUAUUGAGUAACAGUAUCAUAGAUUUAGAGCUGAAAGCGACCUCUGAGGCCAUCUAAUCUUACCUUCUCUUUUUUUUCCUAUUUCUUUUGCUCUUCUCCUCUUUUUCCUCCCUCUUCCUCUUCCUCCUCCCUUCC